RNAcentral lists this ribosomal RNA (446 nucleotides) under uncultured bacterium. RNAcentral's name for it is "partial 16S ribosomal RNA". It matches the Rfam family "Bacterial small subunit ribosomal RNA", at positions 338 to 795 of the family's 1533-position model. The record is from RNAcentral.
CCUACGGGUGGCAGCAGUCGAGAAUCAUUCACAAUGGGGGAAACCCUGAUGGUGCGACGCCGCGUGGGGGAAUGAAGGUCUUCGGAUUGUAAACCCCUGUCAUGUGGGAGCAAAUUAAAAAGAUAGUACCACAAGAGGAAGAGACGGCUAACUCGGUGCCAGCAGCCGCGGUAAUACAGAGGUCUCAAGCGUUGUUCGGAAUCACGGGGCGUAAGGCGUGCGUAGGCUGUUUCGUAAGUCGUGUGUGAAAGGCGCGGGCUCAACCCGCGGACGGCACAUGAUACUGCGAGACUAGAGUAAUGGAGGGGGAACCGGAAUUCUCGGUGUAGCAGUGAAAUGCGUAGAUAUCGAGAGGAACACUCGUGGCGAAGGCGGGUUCCUGGACAUUAACUGACGCUGAGGCACGAAGGCCAGGGGAGCGAAAGGGAUUAGAUACCCCAGUAGUC